CAAUCUGGUGGUGAAAAAUAGGAAUGACUAAGUGGAACGCCAGGAAAAAAAUGUGGAUUUGAAAAACAAACCCCUAUGUCUUCAAGAGGAUAACAGUCAAGGUACAAGAACCCUGCUCUAUCUGAUGUGAACUCAUUAUGGCUCCUUGCUGGUCAAGUAUUUGAUAGAAAUCUGUUGUGGAGCUACAGUUCCCCAGGUGACAUCUCAGGUCUGAAGUUUACCUCAUGUGUGACUCAGCAUAAGAGACAGAUUGGUUCAGUGACCCAUGGGGAGGCAUGUCCAACAGUGCAGUGUCACCCCGCCCAAGUCACAAUGGCCUGUGCUGUGAAAUCUGGCAGAAAGGUUAUUACAACAGGUCUGAAGAUGUCUGACUUGGUCAUGGAACACCAGGUAACUGUAUGCACAGUUUUUUUUCCUUCUAUUAAAUGGGUAUAGUUC
This is a non-coding RNA of Castor canadensis (American beaver), 438 nucleotides long. NCBI's taxonomy places the organism in Eukaryota, Metazoa, Chordata, Mammalia, Rodentia, Castoridae. The record is from RefSeq and is a predicted model, not a curated record.